UAAGACCAAGGUUUCCUGCGCAACGUUAAUCGACGCAGGGUUAGUCGGUCCCUAAGGCGAGGCUGAAAAGCGUAGUCGAUGGAAAACAGGUUAAUAUUCCUGUACUUCUGGUUAUUGCGAUGGAGGGACGGAGAAGGCUAGGCCAGCUUGGCGUUGGUUGUCCAAGUUUAAGGUGGUAGGCUGGAAUCUUAGGUAAAUCCGGGAUUCUAAGGCCGAGAGCUGAUGACGAGUGUUCUUUUAGAACACGAAGUGGUUGAUGCCAUGCUUCCAAGAAAAGCUUCUAAGCUUCAGGUAACCAGGAACCGUACCCCAAACCGACACAGGUGGUUGGGUAGAGAAUACCAAGGCGCUUGAGAGAACUCGGGUGAAGGAACUAGGCAAAAUGGCACCGUAACUUCGGGAGAAGGUGCGCCGGUGAGGGUGAAGCAUUUACUGCGUAAGCCCAUGCCGGUCGAAGAUACCAGGCCGCUGCGACUGUUUAUUAAAAACACAGCACUCUGCAAACACGAAAGUGGACGUAUAGGGUGUGACGCCUCCCCGGUGCCGGAAGGUUAAUUGAUGGGGUUAGCUAACGCGAAGCUCUUGAUCGAAGCCCCGGUAAACGGCGGCCGUAACAAUAACGGUCCUAAGGUAGCGAAAUUCCUUGUCGGGUAAGUUCCGACCUGCACGAAUGGCGUAACGAUGGCGGCGCUGUCUCCACCCGAGACUCAGUGAAAUUGAAAUCGCUGUGAAGAUGCAGUGUAUCCGCGGCUAGACGGAAAGACCCCGUGAACCUUUACUAUAGCUUUGCACUGGACUUUGAAUUUGCUUGUGUAGGAUAGGUGGGAGGCUUUGAAGCGUGGACGCCAGUUCGCGUGGAGCCAACCUUGAAAUACCACCCUGGCAACUUUGAGGUUCUAACUCAGGUCCGUUAUCCGGAUCGAGGACAGUGUAUGGUGGGUAGUUUGACUGGGGCGGUCUCCUCCUAAAGAGUAACGGAGGAGUACGAAGGUGCGCUCAGACCGGUCGGAAAUCGGUCGUAGAGUAUAAAGGCAAAAGCGCGCUUGACUGCGAGACAGACACGUCGAGCAGGUACGAAAGUAGGUCUUAGUGAUCCGGUGGUUCUGUAUGGAAGGGCCAUCGCUCAACGGAUAAAAGGUACUCCGGGGAUAACAGGCUGAUACCGCCCAAGAGUUCAUAUCGACGGCGGUGUUUGGCACCUCGAUGUCGGCUCAUCACAUCCUGGGGCUGAAGCCGGUCCCAAGGGUAUGGCUGUUCGCCAUUUAAAGUGGUACGCGAGCUGGGUUUAGAACGUCGUGAGACAGUUCGGUCCCUAUCUGCCGUGGACGUUUGAGAUUUGAGAGGGGCUGCUCCUAGUACGAGAGGACCGGAGUGGACGAACCUCUGGUGUUCCGGUUGUCACGCCAGUGGCAUUGCCGGGUAGCUAUGUUCGGAAUAGAUAACCGCUGAAAGCAUCUAAGCGGGAAACUAGCCUCAAGAUGAGAUCUCACUGGGACCUUGAGUCCCCUGAAGGGCCGUCGAAGACUACGACGUUGAUAGGUUGGGUGUGUAAGCGCUGUGAGGCGUUGAGCUAACCAAUACUAAUUGCCCGUGAGGCUUGACC
RNAcentral lists this ribosomal RNA (1603 nucleotides) under metagenome. RNAcentral's name for it is "bacterial LSU rRNA". It matches the Rfam family "Bacterial large subunit ribosomal RNA", at positions 1340 to 2925 of the family's 2925-position model. The record is from RNAcentral.